GUGUUUGACAACUAUUUUGUUUGUUUGGCAUUCCAAUACGACAUUCCUUGUUUCUACGAAUGAGAGCCCUCCAUUUCCAAGAUGGUAGUAUGGUGGGCACAUCCAAUCAUAUACUUUGUUUGCUUGCGCCUACAUCACAACAAUGGUGUUUCUUUCACCAUCUCCUCAUAUCAAAUUCCAAAUGCAUCUCCGCCAUCGAACCCUCCCUUUCUCUUUUCUUCUCAUGCAACUUCUCUCCAACAACCAUGCGUCCAACAAUCAUCUCCGCUUCUCUUACCACAACUAUCUAACAUUAGCCUAUCUAUAUAACACAAUGCAUGUUAGAGAAAGCACGGUUGACGAAGACCCUCCAUCUAAUUAGAUAUGCUUCUUAUCUUUCUUUAUUUUUUAACAAAUUCUGCUUCAGAUUCUACUCCUCUUUCUCUUUUAAAAAUAGAGGAAAAAAGUUCAGCUAAGAUGAAUCGUAAUGGCAAGAAACCAUUUCCAUACCCUAUAAUCCGGCAAGAGACGGUAUAAAGAUAGUAGUCCGCUUCAGUUCAGCCCAGGUUGGUUUCCUUCCAAUCAACGAGCUCGGAUGUCGGAUCCAGCAGUCCGCACUCAUCCGACACACGGGCCAAAAUUCGCAAACCGCGCCAAGCGCCCACGCGCGCGGCGAGGGACGAUAACUCGUACCUCCGGAACACCAAAAAACCCCAGCGGAACACGCAACGCGCGGGCGGGCGGGCGCUCCCCCGAAACCGGCAGCCCCGCCGCUGGUUUUGGCUCUCCUCCCAAAGCCGCGGGCGCCUUCCGCUGUCGUAAACCAUCGCGCUCCCCCUCCUCCCCCCCUACCGCCGAACGCCACCCCCUUCCCGAGCCCGUUUCCCAUGCAUUAAAUUUGCGUUUCCUGUGCAAGCCAAGGCGAGAAACUGUUUUGGACCAGACCUUAGUUGUUCCUUUCUCUCUUCUUAUAUAUAUUCUCUCGCCAUCCAUCCAACUCUUUUCUCUAAGUCUCUUUGUACCGUCAGGCAAAGACUCGUCCUUUUCGUUUCCCUUUCCACUGCCACCGGUCUUUUUCCUCUGUGGCGGGACGAUCGGGUUUCAAAACCCGGGGUUUUUCGGCGAGAGAACCGGGUUUCUGGGGGAGGGAUGGCGGGCGGGGAGCGGGCGGGGACGCCGCCGGCUGAACGGCGGUGCAACCGAAGCGACGGCAAGUCGUGGCGGUGCAAGAACUGGAAGAAGGAAGGCGUGAGCCUCUGCGAGGCUCAUUACGAGCAGCUGGUCAAGAAAAGUAGGGUUAGGGUUUCGUCGAGGGAUGGGGAGAGCGGGGACGGGCGGAGCGGCCGGCGGAGGAAGAGGAGUGAUGAUAAGAUAUUCCGGCCGCCGGCGGCUGUGGUUGGGGGAAUGUUCAUUGGAAGGGAUAUCCAGAUGAGGGAAAGGAAGCCGGUGAAGCUGAUGGUCGUGGACGACUUCGGAAGCGACGAGGAGGACGAGGAAGACGGACUCGCGAAGGUGAGAGAGCGAUUUCUUGCAGUUAAUCUGCGAUCUUUUCGUGGUUUUUCGGCGCAAAAUUCGAUCUUUUUUGUUUUCCUUUGCUUUCUUUAUCUUUUUCGGUUCUGGCGAGCUUUAGGGGCGACUUCUUGCAAUGUUUCAAGGUUUUUCUCUUGCUUUAUUGGAGAAAGAUUUGAUCCUUCCCGUUUUCGUUUCUUGCUGUUUUCGGUCUGGAGAAGGCAAGGAGCGAUUUCUUGCAGGCUUUCGAAAUUUAUCGACUGUUUUCUCGUACAAAAAUUUAUCUUUUUGUUUUUUUAACAUACGGUGGUGUGAUGAGGAUUAGGGCGACGAAGAAGAGGAAGAAGACAAGGUUUUGAAGGUGGGGAAGAAGCGAAAGAGGAGGCAUUGGAAGAAGGAGGGUAGGAAGGGGAGAAAGGCCAAGAAGGAGGAUUUGGAAGCCGGGUCCUCUUCUGUUGCUAGGGUUACGAGGAACUCCAACAAGGUUUCAGGUCCUGAGAAAAAUUCUGAGGUAAUAAAUUCUCUCCCCUUUUGGUUGGGCGCACGACUUCAUCCCUUUGGUUUGGUUGAAUGCAGUUAAUUGAUGGUAUGUAUCUUCCUGUUUUAGGGUUCUAAGAGGAAGCCACUGACAGGGGAGGAUGCCCUAAUGUGCCACCAAUGCCAAAGGAAUGAUAAGGGAAGGGUAGUAUGGUGUUUGAAGUGCAAAAGGAAACGCUUUUGUGUACCGUGCAUGACUCGCUGGUGAGUGAUGAUCCUUUCCCCUUCCUUCUUUAUCUAUUCAUUCUUCUUGUAAAUGUAUGUUUUCUUCUGUAGGUUUUAACCUUUAAAAGCUCUUCAUCCCACUUUUACUAUAAACCUCAAUAUUUCUCUUUUGCUCUUUUGCUAUUCCAUGUUUCAUCUGUUUCUUUUUUUAAGCAUAGGAGUUUCAUCUUCUUCUAUAAACUCUAAUCACUUUCUUUCUGAUAGGGCUGAAUUGUUGAAAUGUGUAAAUUUUAUCCUGUUAUAAUUUGCAUCAUUAAGGAAUAUUUUCUAUUCUUCCAAAUUGUACUGUUUUUUUGACUGUUUAGAAGAUUGUAUGGAGUUAGCUGAUAGAUAUCUUUUUGCUGCAGUAGUGAGAUAUUCAGUAUUUCAUAGCAUAAAGUGAAAAUUGCAAGCUUGAAAAUAUAGAUGUUGUAUUAUGUUUAUGCAUUCUCCUUUUUGAUUUUUAUCAGGUAUCCUCAUUUAUCAGAGGCUGAAUUUGCAAAAGAAUGCCCAUUUUGCUGCAACAAUUGCAAUUGCAAGGCAUGCUUGCGUAUGAAAGGAGUUUCUGAGGUCUGCUUUUGGUAUUUGGAAUUCUUGAUCGUUGUUGCAUUCAGUUCUCUACUUAUGUAAUCGUAUCUGAUGACACACUCUCUAUGUUGACUUUAGCCUCCUAAAAAAAAGAUUAUGAAUGCUGACCGAGUCCAAUACAACUGCUAUAUUGUACGCUUAUUGCUGCCAUGGUUGAAAGAACUACGACGAGAACAGAUGGCAGAAAAGGAAAUUGAGGCCAAUAUUCGAGGUAUCAUUGCCGUAAAUUGGAUUUUAAGUUGUAUACCUUUCCAUCCAUUAUCUUUCAUCUGAUCUUUCUCCCCUGCUGCUGCAUUUUUCUCCCGACCAGGUUUGGCAUCGACUGAGAUAAAGUUAAGAAGAGCUAACUGUCAAAAGGAUGAACGCGUAUACUGGUAAAACUCUUUUGCUCAUCAAGGUUUUUUAAAACCAUAGAUCUCGGCCAUCUUGUUGGAUGGCCAGUGCCGAUCUGAACCUACAUUGUGGUUUCUCUUGGCCAAAAUGGGACACUUGGAAAAAUAUAUGAGGUUUGGAUAUUUCCAUAUCUUGGCUGAUACUAUGGAACUUAGAUAUCUAAAUAUUGGCCAAUACUGGUAAAUCCAUGAUUACAUACUAUUCUUAUUGCAUAAACUUAAAUGUUUAAUAAUUAAAAAUGCGUAAUGCUUGGGGCCCUUGUCGGAUGGACAUGAAGAGUUCUUCCUGCCACGUGGCUUGAGGGGAUUGGCAUGAUUCUCAGGAAUUUGCAUGAUGUGCAGAAGUGGAUUAGAUUUUAAGUUGCCAAACUAGCAGUAGGUGGGCCUGAAGAACUUUCCAUGUACACUAACAUAUUCCACAAAAGCAUUUAUGUUAAAUGUUAAUUUAAGAUUGUAAAGAUUGAUUAGGAAAUUUCAUCUGCGAUAUCAGUUAUAUAGUAUCGUUGAGCCUUUAAUACUUCCUCUCUGAUUUCCCCACUGUGGAAACUUUGCUCUUCAUAAGUAGUAGGCUCUGCCUGUGGUUAGGUUAAGCCUUAUAAAACCUGAUUUCUGAAAUUGUUUUGGAGCAGCAACAAUUGCAGAACCUCUAUUGUUGAUUUCCAUAGAAGCUGCCGUCGCUGUUCAUAUGACUUAUGCCUUAGUUGCUGCCGGGAGCUACGUGAAGGUCGCAUACCUGGUGGUGAUGGGACAGUAAUUUUGCCAUAUCCAGACAGGGGUAAAGAUUAUGUGCAUGGGGGUUCUCCUCGUCGUAUGAAUAAAGGUCAAGGGAAGAGGAAAAAAAGUCAAGAGAGUUCUUUAGACAAUCGGGUCGCUAUCUCUAGAGAUAGCAUGGCUCGUAUGAGAGAAUGGAAAGCAAAUAGUGAUGGCAGUGUUCCUUGCCCGCCAAAGGAGAUUGGGGGCUGCGGUAGCUCCCUCUUGGAGCUGAAGUGCAUGUUUCCUGAAAAGUUGCUUUCUCAGUUAGAGGAGAAAGCUGAUGCAAUUGCUAGGAGCAAUAAGUUUGCAAAAUUUGGGGACAUGUCCAGGUCAUGUUCCUGUUUCACUGCAUCUGGCAAUAUUAACACUGGGAGUGAAAUGUUGCGGAAAGCAGCCUGUAGGGAGAAUUCUGAUGAUAAUUAUUUAUAUUGUCCAACUGCUAGAGAUAUUCAACAGGGAGAACUGAAGCACUUCCAAAACCACUGGUUAAAGGGAGAACCGGUGAUUGUACGUGAUGUACUUGAGCUUACUUCUGGCCUGAGCUGGGAGCCAAUGGUUAUGUGGCGUGCAUUACGAGAGAAGACAAAGUCUAAGGCUUCAUCUGAGCAGCUUGCAGUAAAGGCAAUUGAUUGUUUGGAUUGGUGUGAGGUUAGUUUUGAUAUCUCAUAGAUGUUUUUGAUGUUAGGAGAUGUUUCUAAAGAAGUUUCAUUGAAUACACACGACUUUGGUCUUGUCCUUGUUCUAUUAAAAGAGUUGUAGAAUUGUAGAACGGUGCAUAUGUUUUUUAAUAUAUUUUCUUUGCAUCUCGACUUACAGAGCUUUCCAAACUUCUUAAUCAUGUAUAUGUAAUUGACUCAUCCUUAGUUGAAUGACAAUUUGUGCCAUUGUGUUAAGCAUGAGCUAAAACUGCUAUGGUUGUAAAAUCUACUCACAGUGAAGUAUAUUUUGAGCAGUGUAUGAAUUUUGUUGAUUAAUUUAAAUCCUAGAAAACAUUUGAAUGAAUUCUGAAGGAAUGUUAUUUGGUAAUGCUCCAUUCAGAUGGAAAUGUACAUGUACUUAUUGCAGUAAAGAAUCUUUGAAGAAACUUUUGUGGAUAUGCGGUUGCAAUUGUCUGCAGUUAAGGAAUGUGUGCUCCUUGGUUGUUCAUUGUUUACAUAGGAUAAAAUGGCCUAUCUGAUGACUAUCAUGCAAGCAGGCAGUUGCCUAUGUCUAUUUUUGAGAGCCAUGUAUUCCUUUGUUUGAUGUGUUUUUAUCAUCCUGUAUAAUUUUUCAUCAGUCUAAUGUAAGGAAAUGUGUUGGCAGACUUGCCUACUGCAUGCCGGUGUUUUAUGCUAUCUGUCUAACUUGAGAAUCCCUGAUGCGUAUGUUGUCUGUUGUAGGUUGAGAUAAAUAUUCACCAGUUUUUCAGAGGAUAUACUGAGGGGCGAACUCACAGCAAUCAAUGGCCUGAGAUGCUAAAACUCAAGGAUUGGCCUCCAGCCAGUGCCUUUGAGGAUCGGUUACCUCGCCAUGGUGCUGAGUUUAUAACUGCUUUGCCAUUCCCAGAAUAUACAGAUCCUAGGUAUGGUCCUCUGAAUCUUGCAGUGAAGCUGCCUAAGGAUGUUCUAAAGCCAGACCUGGGGCCCAAAACAUAUAUUGCUUAUGGUCUUCACCAAGAGUUGGGCAGGGGUGAUUCCGUAACGAAGCUUCAUUGUGAUAUGUCUGAUGCGGUAUGUAUUUUGUUUCAAUAAUUAAUAUCAUGUCCAUCUGUGGCUCUAUUUUUGGUAAGUUGAUAUAAGUAACCUCAUGUUGAUAAUUGACAUUUGGUUUUCUGUAUGAGGUGAAUACAUAUAUAGCCUAACUCAACCACAUGUUUGCACAAUAGUCUCAAAAUCUGAUUUCAGAGCUUUUAAGGAUACAUUAGUGCCCCUGGCUUUACUGAUUUGAUAUCCCCUGACAGGUUAUGCUCCUGCAGUAUUAAACAUUUUACUUUUUUUGUUUUUUGUUGGGAAAGUGUUGAAAAGCUAAACCAGAAACAUCUGUUUGUUGUGACCAUCAUUUUUUGGUGUCUAUUGUUUUUGGCUAUCAUCUCUUGAUCUCCGGAAUGACCUACAAAAUCAUGGGCUCUAAUUAUUGAAUUUAAUGAUUAGAUUUUCUGCUUGCUGUUCUUUAAUAUUAUUAGUACAUUAGAUUAAACUUUUUCCCAUUACGUUUGUUGUUGAGCCUGUGUUCUAGAUAAUUUCACUAGUUUUUGUCUCGCAUAUUACUCCAUUUUAAUCAGGAAAUUUUUUUAAUGCCUGAUAUUUAAUUGCUUACCCAGGUGAAUGUCUUAACACACACAGCAGAGGUGACCCUUUCUGAUUAUCAGCUUUCUAAGAUAGAGAAGUUGAAAAAGAAGCACAGGGAUCAAGAUUUAAGAGAACAGAUUUUUACCACACGAAAAGAUCCAGAAGAGAACUCAUCGUCAUCUCCAGGGAAAUCUGUAAUGGAACCUCCUGAUGAUAAGUCAUAUGUCACCUUAACUGCUGGGGAAAAAGACUUCAUGCAAACGUCCAAUUUAGAAAAUGACCUUCAUCAUCCUGUUCAAGCCAACAAUAUGCUAUGCAAUGAUUCUUUUGGGGAGCAAAAAAUAAAUUCUCUCUCUCUAGCUGAAUCUCAUGUGAAAGAUUCAGAUAUUAAGAUUGGGGAUGCAAUGGAUGUUCAGAAAGAUGCUGAUGCAAGCUUUUUUGACAUUGAAGCUGAAAUAGUUGUUACACAUGAUGAACAAGAGGGACAAAAUGGUUGUUUAUCAAAUAACCAAAAGCUUGCUCAGAAUGAAGAUUUGAAAGGACGUCAAACAACUGAAGAUGAUAGUCAAGCAGAUGAUGGAAUUUGUCCGAAGCUUUCUGUGAACAAGUCUGUUCUGGAAAGCAUCAAGUUGCAUGCAUCAGCUAGUGAAUUGGAAGAGAAGAAAGUGGGUCAAAUGGCUUCUUCUAAUUUGAAUGAUGAAGGAGCUCUUAAAAGUCAAGCGAUGGGUCAGGUGAAUAUAUGCCAAAAUGAAAUCCCGCAUUCUGCAAAAAUCUGUGAUGAUCUAAAAGAGACUGUGGAAGCUCAUGCUAAGGAUCCAUCAGUGAUUAAAUCCACAUCCGAUUUGGUUGGCAUUCAGUCAUGUGCUGUUGCUGAUGGAGAAUUUCCUAUAUCUGAAUCCUCCUUGAAAGAAACUGGUCAGUCGCAGAUAUUGGCUGUGAUAAAUGCUGGAAAUGGAGUUCGGGAGGAAGGAUCUGAUCAGGAUACUGGUGUCAAAGCUGAAGCAGGUAAUGAUGCUUGCCAAACUGAGCUGCAUGGUAAUGGCAAUUGCCCUCCAUGUGCUGUUAAAACUGAAAGCAAUGGAGUCUCUUGCUCUGAAGGAGUCGAUCAAGGAGAUGAUGCUAGUCAGUUUUCCAGUAAAACUGAAAAUGAUGAAGUGCGUAAUUCAAAUGUUAAGGAUGAUGAUGAAAUGCUUGUGGUUAAGACAAAACGAGGUCAAAAGAAGAGGGGCAAGCCUGCUGAUCUUGGAAAGAAGCCGGGCAAGGUAGUACCUGGUCAAACUUCAGGGGAAAUUCGGAGCGAGGGAGGAACUGUGAUGCUAUCUCCUAAUCUCUUACCAGAAAACAAAUCUGGUAAUGAUGUGGAGAUGCAAGCUGAGAGUAACAAUCAUAAAGUUUCUGAAGGGCCAGAUGAGAGAACAAAAAAAAGAGGUAGGAAGAAAAAGAGGGGGAGAAAGGCUUCCUUUUCUGGUCAACGAAUGAAAAGAGAACUUGAUUCUAUUACUGUCAGCACUGAAACCACUGAAGAUCCUGAUGGUUGUCGAGUGGGGGAAGUUUCAGAUUCAAAAAAUGGUGCAGAGGUGAAGGAACCUGGAGGUUCAGAUAAUGUAAGAGAGCACCAACCUGCUGUGUCUGGUGAUAGUGUAGAGCAAAAAGAGCAGAAGCAGCCAGAAGGUGGGGCUUUGUGGGAUAUUUUUCGAAGAGAAGAUGUUACAAAACUACGGGAAUAUCUUAAAAAAACAUGCUAGAGAGUUCAGGCAUGUCCACUGUUCUCAAGUUGAACAGGUAAAAACAAGCCAGUAUGCACAGUAUCAUGUUGUAUUACACUUCAUCUUCCUUUUUGCAUUGUAAAUAACUUCAAUUGUCUGUCAUAGGUGAUUCACCCUAUUCAUGAUCAGUCUUUCUAUUUAACCUUGGAGCAUAAAAGGAAGCUUAAGGAUGAAUAUGGUCCGUUAAUCUUACACUAAUUAUGGAGACAAUGAUAGCCUUGUUGGUUAUCUGUUAUGUAUUCGUAUUGCUAUUUGAAGGCAUCUAGAUUUAAUAAUCUUGGAUUCAUUUAGGAAUUGAGCCCUGGACCUUUGAGCAAAAGCUUGGCGAGGCUGUCUUUAUCCCAGCAGGAUGCCCCCAUCAAGUUAGAAAUUUGAAGGUAUGCUUCUCUUUUAUUCACAUGACAAGUGGAUUAUUUUGUUAUUUAUAAACUAUUUAUUCUGACCAACUCCAACAGUUCACGCUUGAUUCACUGUUAACUGCAAUUUGACAUUUUUUUUCUCAUGAACAGUCAUGCAUAAAGGUUGCUCUGGACUUUGUGUCUCCUGAGAAUGUCCGUGAGUGCAUUCGAUUAACAGAAGAAUUUCGUGUACUUCCAGAAGAGCACAGGGCUAAGGAAGAUAAGCUAGAGGUUUAGUAAUUCGGUCCUAUGUUUCCCAAUAAAUCCAUACUUGUGCUUUUUCAUGCUUUUGUUAAAUUUGUUUGUUGUUAUGCAUAUUGAAGAUUUUGUUCAAGUUCCUGUAAUGGUUUCUAACUUUAUUGAACAUGAUCCAGGUUAAGAAAAUGGCUCUUCAUGCAUUCAUACAUGUUGUCGAGGAUUUAAAAGCCUAUAAUUUUAAACCAGGGUGAGUUUUUCAUAUCCCUGCAUUUUUUGCUUUUAACCAAGGUGAAUUUAAAUCCGUUCCGGUGCCUUGCAUGGAUGUCCAAUCAUGACUAACUUGUGGUUCUUUUGGAUCUUGAACAUGACCGACAUUAUGGUUCAAUGCUUUGAGCAAUUAAAUGUGUUGCUUUCAAAAAAUCUUGAAAGGAUAUGGCUUUUUAUGGGCACCUUCACUUGUAGCAUACUAGGUCAUUCUACUGGAAAUGGUUACGAAAUCUCAUAACUUAUAAUUCGCUGUGCUGUAUCAGGCCGAAGGCUGAAUCUGAAGAACCUAUAGUAGAAUCUGAAGAUGAAGAGAAACGAAUGAUGGAAACAGAUCCGUCGCAGGAAAUUGGAGACCCAACUGGGUCAGCAUCGCAGGAUUUAAAGUCAUCUCAGCCAUUGCCAACUUCAUCUUCUGAUGCUGAUGGCUAACUGUAGGACAGUUGUUGACCUGAUUUUGAUUUAUCAUUCUGGAAAUGGCAUUUAUGAUAGCCCGCACAGCAGUAUACUGGUGUUUUGUUGUUAAGUAAUCUGGGAUGGACAUAUCCCCUCAAUUGGUUCCUCUUCUUUUGCAGUUUGUAGUCUCAGUCUGUUGUUGUUUUGGCCUAUGCCACAUUUUGCUGUGGGACGACAGAUGUAGAGGCUUUUUGUAGAGCUCCUUAUAUGAAAUUAUCUUGUAAAUUUUGGAUCCACCGGCGGCCAGCCAUUUGCCUUGUGUGUAUGUGUUUAUUAAAGCACAUCGUUUUGGACCGUUCUCAAAUGGAAAAUUGGCUUUGAGUUUAUUUUGAAGUUCUAUUCUGCCAACACUUAUCUAUAAUUUUUGAAGGAUCAAUCUUUUGAUUUGAUGAUAUUCGAUGAGGUGCAAAACUGUAAUGCCCUUUAGUCUCUGCAAGGGGGUGAUGGAAGGUAGCCAUCUCUUAUUCGGUAACGGCGGACUACAGCACCGGACUUAUCCUGUGAGGUACUGACUGUCCGAAGGAUCAGAAAAAACAGAUUUUACUUUCAUUGAUGUAUGUAUUGUGUGAAUAUGCUUCAGUGUUAACCUUCCUGAAGGUGCCUGAGGGUUUUGUAUUGGAAGUGGUUCUGUGUUAAUAUCUCCCUGGUGAGUGUGGUUUUGGGUCCAGGUUGACCUCAAGGGCAUGAAAGUAUGUGUUUUUCUGUUUCUGCUCCAUUCAUUCUAUACAAUGAGGAAGCUGUUGAAGCUAAGACAAUUAUUUAUGUUGUCUAGCUGUCAGGACUGAACUUUGGUCCGCCGUAUUGGUUCGAAUCGAGCGGUAGCGUAUCGGUAUUCAGUAUGCUAAAAAAAUUUCAUACCAUUCUGACAUACUGUUAGUGUGGCACCCCGCACUGGUACAGAGGCAGUGAAUCUUAGUAUGAUAAAGAUAGUUUUUGCCAAACCUUGAGCCUCAGACAAUUGACAUGUUGAGAUGUUUGCACACUCUUCUACAUCUCAGCAAAUUUGCUUUACUGUGAGAGAUUGGUCUUCUAUUAUUUGUGGCUCAGAUAUUGAUUCGUAUUUAAAUUGUUCUCUUCAAAGUAUCAGUCAUCAAAACCCAAAAAACACUUAUGUCUGGUCUGAUGCGAAUUUAUAUUAUCAGCCUAAAGUCAAUAAUAUCAUUUUUGCUUUCUUACUUACUUGAGUUCGAUCUGAUAAUAAUAAACCAACCUGUGAAGAAAUAAUUAGAUUCAGUUUACUGUAUAAUCUGGCAUUUUGAUACUUUAGCCUUCAUUCAUCAGCUAUAAUAUCUAGAAAAAAACUAACAUUUCGAGAUGAGAAAUACUGCACAGCUGAGUCCUGUUGGCUAAAAGAUGCUUUGGUAAUUUGGCAUGCCACUGGCAUUAAAAGAUUGGUGAGAUUUAUCUGAUUUAUGCGAUUAAUGGUCUGAUUAUGUUGUAAAGCAGCAAUUCCAUCAUAUCAGGUUGCAAGGGCUGCUCCCCCUGCCAUUUUUAUCUUGAAAUUAUAGCUUUCCUUCUUGUCUUAAUUUCUACGGUAAUAUACUAACGUAGAGACCUCAUAUUGCUUUAAAGGGAGGAUUCAAAAUAUAUAUUUAUUUUAUCUAUAAGGAAAAUUUAAUUUUAUGUUGAUUUUUUCUUCUUUUUUUUUUGCCCCCACGAUUACCAUUCAGCACUGUUGAUUUUUUUGCGAGUUGGUAUAACCAAACUCUGUUCACUCUGUUCUGUUGAACCUUCCCCGAUCAAAGGAUUUUGGACCGUCUGAUCAGUGUGUUCUUAUGAAAAAUUAAAAAGCAAAUAAACAAAUUAAGAAAAGGAAAGCAAUCCGCUUUUACUUUCCCCUAGCUGUCCUUUUUUACGUUGCACCCUUCGCUCUCCCCUCCUCCUCCUCUUCAACGCAUCGAAGCUUCGGCGGGAAGGCUUCCGGUCGCCUUCUUUUUCUCGUCUUUCGGUACGCCGUGGCCUUUUUUUUCCUCCCCCUUUGCGUCAUCUCUUAUCUCCAAAAUUUGGGCCGACAAUGGAAGAAAAGAAACCCUAACCAUCGCCAUGGAUUUGUAAUCAUUCCCCUCCACUCGAUCGUUGGUUUCCAUGGAAAUGGGAAAGGAGUGGGGGAACGAGAGGUGAUUAGGCUUUCGUUCUGGGCAUGACGUUGGCUUAUCUGGUGCUCGGGUUGCCCCCAUCGGGCCCUGGCCUCGGAAAUGGCGGUCUGAAUGAGAGGCGCAGGGCUUUGGCUUCGCGCGGCGUGGCCUCGCUUGCUUGUAAGGGGAACGGCGGAGUUCACAACGAGGUUGCUCUGGAGGCUAGAUCCCGUACCUUCCGGAGGGAGGACUCCGGGAAGGCGAGGGUGAAGGUGAUGGAGGGGCCGGCCGUGGCGAAUGGCCAGGUUCGAUCGGGAGUUGAGAUUCCCGUCACUUGUUAUCAGGUGAGGACGGUAGUAUAUUUACUUGGAAUAUUAUCCCAUUGCAUGUAAUGAUUUCUUUCCUUUUUUUGGGGGGGGGGGAUGUGAAGAAUUAUGGUAUUGUGUAAUUGAAUUCGAAAUGAGUUUUUGAAUGCCUUUUGAUUUGCUUGAUCCGAAUAUGUGCGUCCAAAAGCAGCUCAGGUCCCGUAAUCACCAUUUCACUUUAUGAUUUACUAGUUGGUUGAAAUCUUCUGCUAUGGUUGAUUCCCCAUGAAGCUCCUUAUGGGUGCUUCAUUGCCAAGAGGAGGCAUUAUUAGUUACCAUUUAAGACCAUACAAACUUUCUGAUGUAUUUCCUUGCACUCUUAAUUUGAUUUGUGAUGUCUUAGAGUAAGAAAUCCCAUUAGAGUUGCAUCUCCUCAGAGACUCUAUUAAAUGAGUGGACCCUGGAAUUCUGAUACUGCAGUUCGUGAGAUUAUUCUGAUUCCUUCUCGUCUGCUUUCUUAGUCUCAUUUCUGCAAAUAGAACCAUGCAAUAAAAUUGCAAUUAACAAAGAAAAUGUACAAGACUACGAAUAAUAAGGGAGGUGAUAAGUUUGGAAUUUGGGGAACAAUUAUGUUAUUAGUUCUUAAACGGGAGAGCUGUUUGAGAAGUGAGCUGAAGUUAUGUGUUUUAGACAAAUAAAGGUGAGGUAUGUGUUAAAGAGAUAAGUGUUGCCUUCGUGAUGUUAGAUGUUGUGAGAUUGGUUACAGGAGAGACUUACAGGUGGUUGGUACAUAGGUUCUAGAUUGGUUACUUAUGAUCAGUGGAAGAAAAUGCUGUAACCAACUCACUUGGUUCAGGCCAUCCCAUCUAAAUUUUCAGGAAAAAAGUAAAAUAAUUUCUAUUUCUAUAUAUGAUUAGCUUACAACUAACAAAUCUAUCUACUAUAUGCAAUGGAAACUCCUGGAGUUGGCCAUGGAAAGGUGGACUCCAAUAGUAAAGCCUCUAGAAUCCUAGAUGAAAAUUACCUAAGGAAAAGAAAGUCUUGCAGGCCCACGUCAUUUUGAGAAAUCCCGCAAUAACUAUCCUCCCCAUGUUCCUGUUGCUUUUUCCCAGCAAGCUCCCACAGCAUCCCUUUUUUAACAAAAAACAUGUGCAAAACACAUGCUGAAUACUAGUAACUAGAUAACAUCGGUUAUAAAUCCUAGAAAAUACUGCUUGUGGAUGCAACACUGCUAAUUCAUCUGUCAAGCAAUCAAAAAAGCUUACCUAGUGCAUAAUUUGUGAAUAUGAGUAUGCUAUCAAAGGAAGGAGAUUACUCUUAAUAAACUCAGCCCUAGAACCCUAAUAUUCUUUUUUAACAUGAGCAACUAAACCCAUGUACUUAUUUAGUACACUAUUUUUACUGGUCCUUUUGCUAAAUUUAUUUGUGGCCAUCCCAAGAAGAUGGUGCACAGUGACCUGUGGUAUGAUCUAUACUGAAUCAUAAUAUCUUUAACACAUUAUCUUCAUUAUCAUGAUGGCAGCCUUCCAAAUGAUUUUGCAGGUUCUUGGCGUACCUGAGCAAGCUGAAAAGGAUGAGAUUGUGAGAGCAGCAAUGGAGCUGAAGAAUUCAGAGAUCGAAGAUGGAUACACAGCAGAUGUCAUUAUUUCCCGGCAGGUAUUUGACUAUGUAUUAAUAUUUCUAUGUUAUACGUUCUCCUUUAUAGGAAAAUUCGAAAACAUCAGACCUGAUGUUUUUCAUUGCUGAUUCGCAGGAUCUCUUGAUGGAUGUGAGGGAUAAACUUCUUUUUGAGCCAGACUAUGCUGGCAAUAUAAAGGAAAAGGUUCCACCAAAAUCUAUUCUUCAUAUUCCUUGGAAUUGGCUGCCCGGUGCCCUUUGCCUUCUACAGGAGGUAUUCUUGCCAAAAUUUGUUGUAUGCAGAUUGUUUUAUUUAAAUCAUCGUGCAAUAUGGUUAAAGAAGAAGGCAAACAUCUGUAGAUCUGAAUAGUUAUGAACUUUUAUUUUCCCUAAGAUACUGAUUUAAUGAUCUUAAUGCUCCUUUUUCAUGCUAACGUGCUGAUGCAUUCAUCGAGAAAAGGGGUAUAAUUUUUCUCACAAUCAUUUAAUAAGUUGAUCAGCUAAACAAUACUAUGUUGAACUAGUGUUAAAAAUAGUAGCUGAGGUAAGAUCCACCAUAUUGGCAAUGUUUCAAAACAUAGCUGCCAAUGUUUUGAAAUGCAUUGCAUAUUGCCGCAUAUAUGCCUGCAUAUAUUUAUGUUGUUCUUUGACGACACCACAUUGUCUAUAUCAUGGUCUGUCGUACCAUCCUGUACCGCUCGAUAUGGGGCGUACUGUACCAUUCCGGAAGAAAACCAAUACAAAGCUUACCUUUAAGUCGGUACAAGCCCCAUAUCUUUCCGUAUCGAUUGCUCCAAGGUGCGUACCGGUUUGUACCAAGGUAAAAAUUGAGAAGAUGGUCAGAGAGUUAUUUCGGUACAAAAAUGUACCGUACUGAUAAGGUACCAAUAUGGUACCCGAUAUCGAGAUUGCGGAGCUUGGUCUAUAUGCAGUAUUAUAUGUUGUCAUACCACAUAUGGACCAAAAGGUUGGCCAACUUAGGAUUGAACGGCCGUAUAUGUAGCAUGCUUAGUAUCAUAUGACUGCAUAUGUGAGCCAAUUAAACAUUCCGGGACUAUAUAUACAACCUACUCUUUUGUGGACCUAUGUAGGUGAAGCAGGUUGAAGCUCCUGAUUAGGUUUGAUAUGGAUUUUAGGUGGGCCUGAUAUGAGUAUUAGUAGUGAUAAAAUGUUGAUUCUGCUAUUGUUAUUGCUAUUGGAUGUUAGAUAUUAAGUAAGGAGCACCAAUUGUUUGUUAUUUUUGUUAUUAAUAUUGCUAUUAUCCAUUUAAAAAUUAUUAUUGUUGUUGUUAUAAUACUUAAUAUUAUAUUUAUUUUAAAAUUGUUAAUAAAGAGCAACCAUAUAUGCACUCGCAUAUGCAGCUCGAAUACCAUAGUUGCUUCUUAGAACACUGAUGGCUGCCUAGGUGGGCUGCAUAGAUGGAGCUGCCUGGGUUGCCCCCUUAACAUUGUGCAUCAUGUUUGAGUAUGAAGAUUUAGAUUGAUUUAUAAAUUAGUAUUACUGUUGCAAGUUAGUAGUUCCCAAUGAUGUACUGUAUUUUAUAUGAUAAGUUAUGUUUCAUUUAUUGUGUCGUAUCUGUCUUUUUAGGUUUAAACACCUACCAAUGCAACUGCUUGAUGCGGAGGCACUAGGCGGCCCCUUGGUUCCCAUUUGCUUGCGAUGGUUUUGUAACAUUGUUUAUUGCCUUGGUUUGUUCAAACUUUGAUUUCUAGAAUUUUGUAUAAGAAAAAUAUAUAAUUGAAAAGCCAUCUUACAGCUGUAAUAGAGAAGCUUAUGGCAUAUCCUCAAUAAUUCCUCUCCAUUCAGUCAGAAAGUCGAAUUAUUAAUUAGUACCAACUUUCUGGUUUAAGCUUUAGCAAAAUUUAGGUUGAGCUUCUAGCUUGGUUGGUCAAAUUUGCUACAACUUUGCCCAUGUUGUAAACUCCAACUUAGCAGUGAGGAAGGAAAUCUGUCAUCUGAAUUGAGAGAGCUGUCACAAUUAUAAGGUUAAUAUUCUUAAGACAUCUAAUUUGUGAUCCACUUAUUUGAAUUUACCAGCCCUCCUAAUUUAGAGAUCUUGGUUUUCUAAUCCAUUUUUAUUGUAUUCCAUGGGAAUGCAUAGAGUUUUCGCAUGCUUUUGGCCAGCUGAAACAGAUCAAGCAGUAACAAAUACUUCCUCAUAGUUAUCCUGGCUUGGGACCUCCAAUUCUUAAAAAAGACAGUUCAAGAUGUACUAACAUGGUUAUCAACACAAUUACACCUAUAUGUAGCGAUGUUUGUGCCUUGUUAUAUGAUUCAAAGCUCGAAUAUAUAUGUUCUGAACCUCUAAGAAGGUUUUCACACUUGAAGCUCGGGACCUCCAAUUCUUAAAAAAGGCAGUUCAAGAUGUACUAACAUGGUUAUCGACACAAUUACACCUAUGUGUAGCGAUGUUGGUGCCCUGUAUAUGAUUCAAAGCUUGAAUAUAUAUGUUCUGAAUCUCUAAGAAGGUUUGCACACUUGAAGCAUUUCUUCAUCGUAAUGACAAUUCAUUUAAUUAUAUGCCAAUUUUGCUUGGAAUAUUAGAAUAUAGAAAGGUCCUAUGUGGAUGUUGCUAUAUGCAUUGAUUCUUAUUCAAGAAAGGCACCCUGUGAGGCAGGAUAUGUAUACUGAUCGAUAUGCAUGGAAUAUAUCUAUCAUCCUGUGUCAAAAUUCAGUUGCCAAAUUCUGAUACUAAUUUGCUACACUAAGGUAUUUAUGUGUUAUAGUUUAAACAAAUUAGAGGUGACAGAGGACUAAUUAUUUAAUACAGGUGGGACAGGAAAAACUGGUAUUGGAUAUUGGCCGAGCAGCUCUGCAACUUCCAGAUGCUAAACCAUAUGUUCAUGAUUUGCUUGUCUCCAUGGCACUAGCUGAAGUAUUGAUAAGUUUUUUUUUUAAUUUAUUUUAAGCAUUGCUUUUUAAUUGUAUUAAUAUUUAUCAUCUCUCUUUCAAUUUUUUUUCCCAAUGUUGGUAUAUUUUUUUGAUGAAGUGCUCAAUUGCAAAGACUGGUUUUGAGAAAAACAAUGUAUCUGAAGGAUUUGAAGCUCUUGCUCGUGCUCAAUACCUAUUGAGGAGCAAAAUUUCUCUAGGAAAAAUGCCACUGCUAUCACAGGCAAACACCUUACAUGUCCAUUUCCAUUCAUCACAUGUUCCUUUAUGAAAUAACUGGAUUUGUUGGGUAUGCUUCUAGAUAGAAGAAUCCUUAGAGGAGCUUGCACCUGCUUGCACAUCGGAGAUAUUAGGCAUGCCUUGCACUCCGGAUAAUGCUGAACGUAGGAGAGGAGCAAUUGCAGCCUUGCGUGAAUUGCUUAGACAGGGUCUUGAUGUGGAAUCUUCAUGUAGAGUUCAAGACUGGUCUUGUUUCUUGAGCCAGGCAAUGAAUAAGCUAAUGGCUACUGAAAUAGUAGAUCUUCUUUCUUGGGACAUCUUGGCUCUUACUCGCAAGAACAAGAAAUCUCUAGAAUCACAGAAUCAGAGAGCUGUAAUUGAUUUUAAUUGUUUUUAUAUGGCGACGAUAGCUCAUAUUGCUCUCGGAUUUUCAACAAGACAAAUUGAUAUGGUAUCCUUUUCUUAGCUAAGACAAUAAUUUUAUAGGUCUCAAUGCAAUGGUCUAACUCUUGGUAAUCUGUGAUGUAGAUCACUAAAGCAAAAAUCAUCUGUGAGUGCUUGAUUGCAUCAGACGGUGUGGAUUUAAAAUUUGAGGAAGCCUUCUGCUCAUUUCUUCUUGGGCAGGUAAAUUUUUUUGAGGGGCAUUUGUAUUAUAUUGCAUUUAGAUAUGUACAAAACUAACUAUUGGUGCUCAGGGUGAUGCGACAGCAGCUGUUGGAAAACUUCGCCAGCUUGAAGUUAAUGGAAAUUCUACUUUACAGACUUUUGAUCCAUCUACAAUAAGACAAGACAAAAUCAAGGGCACUGUUAACCAGUCGUUGGUAUGUCAUGUUGCACAUUAUUUCUUUUUGGUAGGAACAGGUUAGGAAGCCUUUGGAUUAGUCUUGCAGCUGGUUUAUUCUGACAAUUUGUUAUGUUUUCUUUCUAUAUUUUCCAUCAAAGUGUUAGCCAUUGAAGAUCUGAGUGCUGAUUGGCGUUCUUGACGGUUCAGCAUGUUUCUGCCCCCCCCCCUCCUUUUCCCUUCUUUUUGUCCUCUUUUUGUCUAAAAAUACAAACAAAUGUUGAAGGUGUCGAUUUAUUAGACUCAAGUGUCAAUCGAUCCGAGGAGAUUGUGGACUCUUUUCUCUCAAGUGAUAUUGAAAUUUAUGCAUUAAACAGCUAUUUUCUUUUUGAUUACAAGGGAAAGUGUAGAGGUAUUAGAAUGACUAUGCUCAUGUCUUCAUAGAAUGAAUUUUGAAAGUGAAAAUAGUUGAUCCCGGGCACCGAAAAAUAGAAGAGAUAAUGGGAGUAACUAAUAAAGAAAUACAGAUAUAUAUAGUCUUUCAGCUUGUUUUCUCAUGUCAAUAAAAAUAUAGUAUAAGUUCACUUAAAAACCUUGCAUUCACUACAUUACAUUCAUUGAGACAGCUUUCCAUGCUGGUGAUCUUAGUCCCUUUUUCCCUUUAAGUGGAAUAUCAAUUUAUUUAGGCGGUGCUGCUUCUGGUACAUGGCCUCUAUAAAGCCGUAUACUGUAUCAUUUAUGUCUAUUCCACUUAGAUUGCUAAAAUUCAUCUACGUCCUUUUGUUUUAGAAACUGAUUUCCUGAUUCUGGUGAUAUAUUUAUAGAACACUUGGGUCUUUGUCUUCUCAGUCAAUUUGAGAUCCUAUUUCACAGCGAGAGAGAGAGAGAGAGAGAGAGAGAGAGAGAGAGAGAGAGAGAGAGAGUAGNNNNNNNNNNNNNNNNNNNNGAGAGAGAGAGAGAGUUGCGAAGGAAGAAUAUUGUAAGUAAGGCUAAUCCUUGUCAAUUCUGUCUUCUCCAGUCUGUCUAUGUGUUUCAUGUCAGCGUAAGAUACCUUCAGAGAUGAUUGAGGAGAUUGUACUGGAAUUUGACUUCAAAAAAACCCUGCCAUCAAAGAAUUGUUGAGUUCCUAUCAAUAGAGAAUAGAAAAGAAAGCUGCUAAGUAGGCUUGGUAAAUUGCCCGAACUAAGUGGGGCAUGUUGUUGACAUGAAAUGGUCAUUAGCAUAAUGUUAUUGUUGUAGUAUGUGCAGUAAGGGAGGGGGUGGGCAUCCUUCAAGACAAAUUGUAGUUUUCACCUCUCAAUUUUGGAAUAAAAGAUAUCCAACAUCCAGUCAUAAAAAAGUAAGAAUACACAAGCUAAGAAGAGCACUCUGUGCCUGAGCUUUGAUUCACAUAUAAGUACCCAUAGUUGCAAAUACCGCACUUUUGUUCGAAAAAUCUAAUGCUUCAAAAAGUUUUUCAUAUGUUUCUGUCAGAUGUCUGAUCUAAUGCUUCAAAAAAUUUCUGGUUACAACUCUCGCAACAUAUUUCAUAUUGUUGACUUUCAGUUGGCAUGUGCCAAUUUCUUGAGUUCUAUUAGAACCGUCAACAACUGUAAGGGCUUUCACUAAUGGCUCGAAUAGUGAAAUGACACUCUUAUCCCUCAGCUUGAGAUGCUAAUUCAAUGCUUUCAGCUACAAUCCCGCUUUCCAUGCCCGAUACUUUGAAUGCUCAAAUAUGUAUACCUACUGAUUAUUCAUAUACCAACUGAUUAUUUUGAAUGCUUUCAGUAGUGGCUCAAGUGAUGAAAUGACUCUCAUCCCUUGGCUUGGGAUGCUCAUUCAACACUUCAGCUACAAUCCUCUGAGUUCCCAAUAUUUUGAAUGCUUACAAACGCAUAUGUGCCGUUUAGUUUUGAAGAUCUGGUAGAAUGUGUAUGCAAAUAUGCUGUGAGAACACUAAUACACAAUUUUACAUUUUUAGAAGACAAUAACUUCUUUGAGCACGAAACUAUAUUUCGCUCCUAAGAUUAAUAGCAUAGAGGGCACAUUAAGUUGUUCAUUUUGUAUUGAAAGAUCCACGAGUCAUAUAAUAUGAUUUAAGCAACAAUAAAUUGAAUGUCACAUGCAUUUCAUUAAGGUAAUAUUUUAUGACUGAACCCACCAUACAUAUAUGCAUGCACACAUAUGUACAUACAUACAUACUUACUUACAAUAAAUUGAAUGUUUACUGGACAGUCGGACAGACAAAUUUGCACAUAUGCAAUUAUAAAAUGAUAUACAUGGUAUAAUAACUUCUUAGGUGCUCAGUCACAUGUCAUAAAUGCAUUCUCCUUUGUUGCCCCUGCUAUUUCUCCCUCACCUGCCUCCAUUCACCUUUUCUGAGAUGUGAGAAACUUGUAAGCGAUGUGGUUAGGAAAUACAGAUUGUCUAUUGUCUUUGUGUUCAAGAAAUUAUCCCUCUAGACGCCCUUUAUCUUACAUGAAAUAUGUUUUUUUUAGUGAGUAAUUACAUACCAAAACAAAAUUAUCAUAUUUUAAUUGAUGAACCAUGACUGACUUUACAAUUCUGUUUUGCAAAGUUGUUCUUGGGUAGUUAUUCUCUUUUCUUGGUGCUGCUUACUUCAUUGUUGUUUUCUUACUGGUUGUAAAUUGUCAUAAUAUGUUUUAUGUAAGUCUGCUUGUUGUUAAGUUUCCUUUUUAAUAAAGGAUAAACAAAUAAUCUGAUGUCAAUUCUAAACUUUAGUGGUUGCAGCAAUACCUUCAAAAAUUAAAAAAACAAAAGAAAAACUCUCUCAUUUCAUCACAAAUUGUGAUUUUCAUCAUUGCAAUUCAGCAAUUGCUACACAGUUUCAUUUUGACUAUGAACUCAUCACACUGGGAAGUUAUAGAAAACCUAAGUUUACCUUCAUUGCUGUCCAAGACAAAAGGUGCAAUUUGAGCAGGUGGAUAACCUAGAUUCUUGUUGUGAACAUAAGCUAUUACUGAUCAGAGAACUUCCCUUAAGAUUGAAAUUGUCUUAUGCCAGACGACCUGCUGAAAUUUACCAGGAAACGUGGCUGAAGGAUGCUGUUCUUUGUCUGUUUCCUGAUACACGAGAUUGCUCUCCAUUAUUGGUUAGUACUGUACUGGAUGGAUAAUGUAACAAAGUAUGGCUCUUUGGAUUGGGAAUGUUCUAAAUCUUAUUUAUUGAUCUUAGGCCAAUUUUUUUGGGGGCCCAAAGCAGAUUCUAAGAGUUGGCAAGCAAAAAAUUGGAAACAUGAAAAGGGUCCCUUCUACUAGUUGUCGACCACCAUCCUUUGUUCUUUUUCCUGACCGUGGAGCAUCUGCAGAGCAAAAGGCACAUAUUAAUUCAACUAGACAUCUGGGUGAAGCUGUCAAGCAACUUGCACCGGCGGACCUUCAGAGCCAAACAGCUUUAGUUAAGGCUCCUGGUAGCACUAGUGGCCCAUGUUUUCAGCUGAAGAGAAACCUUGGAAUAAAUCAUACAGAAAGUUCGAAAGACUGGUAUUUGGCAGGAGACAUAGCAGGGAAAGUUGCAUGUACUACUCUUGCGUGUUGUUUUCUACUCGGUGCCUUUAAGCUCUUAAAUAUGCAAUUUAUUCACGCUAGGUUUUCACACAAAUGGCACUCUGCUCACCCAAUGAGCAAAGAAACCCUUGCCUGGACCACGAGUCAACAUUCAGGCUUAGAAAGUGCUUCUGGCUUUAUUGAUGGAAAUAUUUGGGGCCAGCUUAGGAACCUGUUGAUGCCAUUCAGGAGACACCUUAAGCAUCAAACAGAUGCAGGAACUUCGCAAAAUUCAUGGCCCACUGAUGAUCUCUCACCUCUACCUGCUCUUGCUGGUAAUAUGCUACAAACGGAACAGAUGACUGCAGAAGAAGCCGAAGCCCUGGUGAAGCAAUGGCAAGACAUCAAAGCAGUCGCAUUGGGUCCAAGCUAUCAAAUACAAGCACUCUCAGAGAUUCUUGCUGAGUCUAUGCUUUCAAAGGUGAAUGCAUGUUUAUAUUUGUUUUUUGUCUGGUUUAUUGUAACUUCUUGUUCUUUUGCAUCCUUCAUUGUUCCUCUUUUGAUGGACAGUGGCAAGAUUUAGCCCAUUCAGCAAAAGCUAGGUCCUGUUUUUGGAGAUUUGUUUUACUACAUCUGUCUAUCCUAAGGGCUGAGAUAAUAUCAGAUGGAGUUGGUAGUGAGAUUGCUGAAAUUGAGGCUGUGCUAGAAGAAGCUGCUGAGCUUGUUGAUGAGUCUCAGCUGAAAAAACCAAGUUAUUACAGGUAAUUCCUUUCAAUAUAUUUGUGUCAGUCUCAUGCUUGGUAUAAAGUAACUUGGGUUUUCAAUUUUAUUUGGUGAUUGUAUUCUUGCAGUACAUACAAAGUAAAGUAUAUUUUGAAGAGGCAAGAUGAUGAUGGUUCAUGGAGAUUCUGUCGAGGUGGUAUCCAAAAUCAAGUAUGAUUUCCUCAUCAAAAAUUAGUAGGUUACAUGUUUCCAUCCGCCAAAAAUCUCCCUUUCAAUCGGAUUCAGGAUAAUAAAUGAAGAAUGUGUCCUGUUGUCUCAGCUGUCUGAAAAGGACUAAAGAAUUGAACUUGUGGCGUAGUGUUUUCCUGGUGAUUUCAGGCCUACCAUUGGUCUUUGCUGAUCAACUAGCUGUGCUAUUGAAUGGUUAAGAAGCUGCUGGUAUGGUUCCUAAAAAUGAUGAAAUGUAGCAUCUGCAAGAUUUAAUGGUUUGGUCUUUGCUGAUCAACUAGCUGUGUUAUUGAAUGGUUAAGAAGCUGCUGGUAUGGUUCCUAAAAAUGAUGAAAUGUAGCAUCUGCAAGAUUUAAUGGUUUUGAAGCUGUCGGUAUGGCUCAGAUCAGCGAAUCUAAAGUAACCAUGAUGUUCCUGAAUUCUUUCUGUUCUGUGGAUAGCAGUGUCUAAAACACAUGACCAGGGUGUGUUAUUUCUUUCGCUCAGUUGUUGUAUUGAUUGAUGGACUGACCAUUCUCUUGAUCUGACCCAUUCUUUGUUCCUUUUGAGCUAAUCUCAGUGGUUUACCCAAGUUUGCUUCAUAAAAUCCUAUUCACCUGCCGCAUAUUAAUUUUCUACCGUCUUCCAGCUCCAAAGUUUCCUGAUACCUUGGGAGAAAUGUGAGGCAAAUGAAAAAAUAUACAGAAUCCUUGUGUAGGAUUCAUAUGGUGUAUCUGUUGAUAGCUGCAUGUUGUAACCUGUAGUUAUUAGAAACAGUUCUUGAUGCAUCUUAUUCUGGAGAAUAUAUGUACAUUCUUGUUUGAGUUAAAGUAAGUCUCAUAUCCUUUUCAGAUUCUUCAACAGAAUCCGGUGUUUUCUUCAUUGCUCCACUUCCAAAAACAAAAGCAACAAGAAAUGGUAGAUUUGCAUAUACCGUCUUCUCAUUUUCAAAUGAAGAAAAGGAGAAUGAUGAUGUAAAGAAAAGCAGCAUAUAAAGGAGAGAUUUAUUUUUUUUUUGCCUUCAAUUUUUGGUUACAAUGAGAACUGCAUAUCAGGAAGAUGAUUGUUUUGGUGAUUACUAUCAGAUUUUGAUCAUAUCAGUUUGAAUGCUUUUAUACCGUGAGGGUAUAUAGAUAUUUGGCAUUCAUUGUAUGGAACCUUGGAUUGUUAGCGGGUGCAGUCUGGCUUUCUUUGUGGUGAUUCGCUGUGGCCGUGCAUGGUGCUUCCUCACCUUAUGAAUGUUUUGGCAUGUUUAUGCUCGGGCCCCUUCUAGGGUGUGGCCUUUCAACAUAAAUCGAGAAAGGGAAAAUUUUCUUAUAAAAUAUACAGUUUGAUGCCAAACCUUUUGUUUUCUCAAAACAUCAUCAGAUUGACAUCAGAUAAAAGUUCACAUAGCAUUUGACAGUUCUUUUGUUUGCAUCGGUCCAGGCAAUGGUCUCUCAAUUGUUUUGACAUGCCAAGAAGCACAUAAUUUCAAAGGAGAACAGAAGCGCUUCGCUUAUUGCUUGGAGGAAGAAACAAUCACCAACUUCAGAACAACGUAAUUGUAACCCCCCAGGAUUCAAUAAAACUCCGACCGCAUACACUUUAAAGAAAGGCAGACACUGGCAUGGCACAAUCCGAUAAGCCUCAAUUGAAAGUUCGAAACCUUCUUGAGGACAGUCUUUUUCCAAGUCUUAUCUUCCUAAACAAUUCCAUCGACACCUUGCUCUCACUCACUCUCUACUGAAAGAAAGCAGGUAUGCUGCAAAGAUGGUUAACGAAUUGCAAUAAGAAAUACAAAAAGAAAAAGGAUUCUUGUUCCCUCAAGAUCCCAUAGCUGACAUCAUAAAAUCAGCAACUGUACAUAGACAAGAAGAUCUAAAUUUCAGACCAAAGUAGUUCCCAUCUCUCCACUGUCUUCCUCCAACCAAUCACACGAAGGGAUGCUCUCAGAAGAGGAUGACUGGUCUUCGACGGAAUCCAUCUCCUCCUCAGGAAUCGUGUCCAAGAUCUUCGACGCCCGGGGCUUCACAACGGCUAUCAGCUGCGGCGGAGCAACCUCGGUGGCAAAUCGGAAGCCUGGAGCUACAGCCAUUUUUCGAAUCAAAGGUGGUAGAAAUGAAUCACAGAAGAGGAGGCGAAGCUCGUAGCAAUUCGAGAGAGCCGAGUGGAGAAGACGCACAAGAGCAAGGACUGGAGCUCAGCUUGGAGUGGAUAACUCUGGCCACCAAGAGAGUCCUUUUAUAAGCCACCGCUGAAAGGGUCCCUGUGACUCCCAUACAUGUACAGGAUUUUGCAUGAACAUUGAUCUGGAUCGUUCAAUCAUCAGAUCCAAUGGGAUGACAUAUGAUCGUCAUGGACAGUGCUUAUACAUAUCUUGCAGGUGUGGAGGAUGGACACGGAACCGUGCAGGCCACGUUGACCGCAUGGGUCUUUAACGCGUUCUGGUGGGAGAUGGGAAGGCGCUCGCGAAAUGGAUCGCCUUUAUGAGGCCGCGUCUGAUAUUUUAGUUGGCUCGUGGGAGCUUCGUCGUGGUAUCUUGGCUUGCUUGCUUUAUUGGUAGGUUAGGUGUCCUUUUCAUUUGUCUUUACUUUAGAGUUUGGACACUGUUUUGGUGGCUAGAAAUCACAUGACUUGGUACAAUGAUUCCCACGGUUACAUCAAAUAAUUAAAUUAGGUUUCCUUCUUUUUGAGUAAAAGAUUAGAUUUCUUUCGGAGGGUGGGAAAUUAAUUAUCCCAAAUACGGAUAAUAUGUGCGGUCCGGUGUUGGACCGAAACCUAAGAAAAAGUUUCUGUUGACCGGUGGUUUAACUUCCGGUCCUUUACGAUUUUAGAAUUAUAUUUAGAGACGAAAAUACUCUUUACUCCUCCCAAAUACAUUUGAAGCAUAUCUUAAAUGAAUGAUAAAUUUAUACUCUUUCAACAGUCAUGCAGAACUGCUGUAGAAUACGGCAAUGGGCUCGGUAGCACAUUGAGACUGCAUCAUGAAUUCUUCCCCCCCUCAUUAUUUGUGUGGUGAUUAGUUUGCAAGGAAGAGAACAGGAAGAGACAGAGUAACUCCGUAAGACAAGGAAGAUAGAGUUUUGAUUUAGUAGUCUAAAGCUACAAGCUCAAAGCACAUCAAAGGAACUUCUUCCUGUAACUUGCACUCUCUGUAAAUACCAAUUUUUUUAAUAAAGGUUUUGGGUGGCUUUUGCCUCCCUUAAUAUAAAAAAAAAAGAAAAAAGAAAACCAAAUGAACAGAAGAUAUAGAAUGGUUACAAGAAAAUUUAAAUUGUUUCCUUGCUUAGCUUGUAUAUGUUUAGGCACUUUCAUCAUUUUUUUUCUUUUUUUUCCCCGUUUUUUAUGUGUAGCCGUUGCAACUCUCAGCCUCUCACCACUGACUCUCCCCGAGCCUAGGAUUUAAUACUGGCAGUUAAGAACUUUUAUUUGGUUGUCUGAAAGAAAUAAUCACAAAAAUUCUCCUUCACCUCGGACCUCCUAUGAUGAACUAAAAUGCCUUUAGUGUAGUCUACUUGCUUUCAGGCCUUUCAAUUUUAAAAAGAGGGGGAAGAGUGAUGCUAAGGUUCUUAUUGUCCUGUUUUCUCAAAGCAUCGGCAAGCCAUUCUGGGUACAAAUUCUCUAAUAAGACCUUUGUAUGCUUUGAUCGAGGCAAUGGUCACUUAAUGGACAACGGACGAGUUAAUUUCCCAAUGUAGUGAUCAGAGGUUUGUCAUUCUUUAAAUAGCAGAAGAAUGACUUCAAGUUGCUGAUGUCCAUGAUAAUUAACUGCGCUUAUUUUGCUUCUUCUCCAUGAAGGCUUUGUAGAUAUUCUUCAUGCUUGCAUUAAGUUUCCGAAUUCCUGGCAAUCUUGACAAACCGCAUGAUCUUGGAACAUCAACAAGAUUUAUCAAAAUCCCAUCAUGAUUGAUGACAUUCUUGUCAUGAUUCAACAGGAUCUGGGCAACAUUUGAUAGAUCUUGUUAGAUUGGAUUGGAUAUUGUUGAUUCUCAAAAAUAGCAUGCCUGAUAGAUAUGGUCCAAAAAAGGCUGUACCUCUAAGUUAUUGUUUUUGCUUUAUAAAACAUCUGAGGCAACGUUAGAAGAAUGAAUGGUCACCAGAUUUAGAACGGAUGGUUGUACGUGUACCCGCCACAGAAUUCAAUAAAUGAUCAUGGCAGAUUGAAUUAGAUUGUGUUUCAUUUGCCUCAAGAAGAAUUAGCUUGUGUUUCACAUGCACUAUGACACACUGAUUUUAAUUGCCAUGACACAACCCCAAGGACUUGAUGAGGACACAAACUUUGAUUACAUGAUAAAUCCAUUCUCAAAAACAAUAAUGUCAUUCUUGUUCUCUCUACUACAAACCACCUUUCACUAGAAAUUCAAUGAAAACUUUUUUUUUCAAAGCAAAAUUUGAUGAGCAAAUUGGACGACUCAUGUGGAAAGAAGGAAAAUGCUCAUUCCCAUCAAAAACUCGUAGCCAACAUCAUCGAAAUCAGCAUCUGUGCGUGGACAAGGAGAGCACAAUAUUUCGUCAUUUCUUGAAGCAAAGGCGAGUACAAAUGCACCAAAAAAAAAAGCUCGUUGAAAUUCUAGAGAGAGAGAGAGAGAGAGAAAGGAGAGUAAGAGAAAUUGUAUCCUAUACGGUGUCGUCAUCAUGCAUGCCGCUAAUCAGAACUAUUCGUUUCUGUAGCGAUACAUCGAGAUUAACCGUCGAUGAAUGGAGCUCACAAAAACAAGUAACUGUGAUUGGCAGCAUGCAUAGCUACAUGAUGUACACGAUAAUUUCUUCGAGAGUAGGAUAUAGAGCUAAAAAUUAUUGGAUGAAUCAGCUUCAUCAUGGAGUUGCUAUUACACAUUAAAAUUAAAAAAAUUAAAAAAGAGUGAUGAUAUCCUAGAUAUGAUCCAUCUGAUAUUUUUUUUUUUUGGUCAAAACGGCAAAUUAUAUAGCUCUAAAGUGAGUACAUCCUGCCAGAUCACGAUAAAGUAAAGAGUACAUAUCUGAAGAAAUAUCUCCUACAGAUGUCCAAAGGAACUCCCCAGAGUGUCGUGCGACGAAGGAGGCGACCCAGUCUGCUGCCCUGUUCGCCUCCCAAUAUACGUGGGCUACCUGGAAGCCACCGAACUCCUGAGCUAGUCUCCGAAUCUCUCUAAUGAGGGGAUGACCAUCCCCAUAUCUAUCCACACCUCGGAUCCAAUCAACCACCACAGAGGAAUCCCCCUCCAAUAGCACCCACUCGGCACCAAGGACUCUCUUCGCAAAAGACAAACCCUCCCAUGCAGCUCGAAGCUCAGCCCCAACAACUGAAAGACCCGUCGUGCGCUGCCCCCCUGCUGCCACCAUCCUACAUUCCUACCCCAGGAAUCCCUGAUCACAAAUCCAACCCCUCCAAAUCCACCAUCCAUCAUCAUGCUCCCAUCGAAAUUCACUUUGAGAUGACCAGGGGGUGGGGGCACCCAAGAGACGAGGGCGAACCUGGGCGCUGUAAAAGCGGGUGAAGUGCCCCAGAUGUCCCUAGCCAUCUCACUAGUGAAUACCGCAGAGGCUGCAAUGACCUCCCCAAACUGUAAUAGAGCUCUAUCAACCAUCAUCCUCGAUGAUAUCCUCCGACCCUCAAAAAUGCCAGCAUUCCUGUCCAACCAGAUAUGGUAAGCCAGAUAUGCUCUAAGAAUGCCCUCCUCCCACGAGCUGGGGCUCCGCAUAGAUCCUCUCAAUAAAGAAAUCAAGGCCUGAGCCGACUCCACCGACUGGGGCAAGGGAACCGGCGAUCUACUCCAAAUCUCUCUCGCCCUCGCGCACUGCACAAGAACAUGAUCAAUAGUCUCCUCCACCUCCGUACACACCAUGCACCACUGCGUGAUCCGUACUCCUCGCCGAAUAAGUACGCUUCUGGAAGGUAGGCAACCCCAUGCCACCUUCCAGAUGAACAAAGCCACACGCGGGUGAACCCGCAUCCUCCAAAUCCAUCCUCCCUCUAUCUGCCGUCCGGACUCCCUCCUAAAUAGGGGAAGAAGAUCCCUAGCUCGGACCCGCGUCCGUCCCGACGGCCUCCACACUAGCCUAUCUGACUCCUCCCGCAAAAGAGCCGGUAAAGCCAGAAUCACCUCUGCCAGCUGCUCUCCAAAAGUCUCCCGAACCAGGCCCUCCCUCCACUGACCCCCAGCAUGGUCAAAUAAAUCACAGACUCUGCAUCCAUCCAAUCUCGCCGAGUCCACCAGAGUCGGCAGAAGACUGAUCGGCUGCUCAGUCACCCAUCUGUCCGCCAGAACAUCGAUCGACCGUCCAUCCCCAAUAGACCAUGUAAUCUCCGGAAGCACCUGCACGGCUCUGGCACACAUCUCCCUCCAGACCGGCGAAUGGUGCCGUCCUGCCCGUAUCCCCGGAACUAGGGCCCCAUAUUUGGCCCUCAUCAAUGAGGACCACAAACAGUCAGGCUCUAGCAUGAAUCUAGCUGCAUGACGUGCCGCUAACGCCUCCCGCCUCACCACCAUGGACUGCAAUCCCAAUCCUCCAACCCUGGUCGGCUGGCACACCACCUCCCAUGCAACCAGGUGUAUACCGCCUCUGCCACCACUCCCCCCCCAGAUGAAGUCCCUAAAGAGCUGCUCAAUAGUCCUCAGGACCUCCAUAGGGAUAAGAGAGUUAGAGAGGAAGUAAGUCGGAAUCGCCGAGAGAACUGACCGAACCAAGGUGAUCCUCCCCAUCAUCGACAGUGUGAGUCUCUGCCAGCCCUCCAGUCUCUGUCUGAUACUAAGCUCCAAAAAGGUAAGGUCCCUACUGCGAAGCCGCUGCCCUGAGAUCGGAAUCCCCAAGUAUGUCAAUAUGCCCACCUGCUCCCCCACCCCCAAAAUCUCCAGAAUGGAAUGCUUCGCUGCCACUCUCGUCUUCGGACUGAAACAUAUUGCUGAUUUGGACAAAUUAACACACUGCCCUGACACUGCACAGUAGACACGCAGAAUCCUACAGAUGACCUGCGCGGCCUGCGGAGUCGACCGAGCCAACAAUAAACAAUCAUCAGCAAAAAGAAUAUGAGAGAUCGACACUGCCCCCUUUGCCGGCCUAUAGGCCUCUAACUCCUGUGUGGAUGUAGCAUGUCUAAGAAGCCUGGAGAGCGCAUCUGCGCACACCGUGAGAGCAAAGGAGAAAGAGGGCAACCCUGGCACAACCCUCGACUAGACUCAAAGAAGCGGGAUGGAGUGCCGUUCACCAGGAUGGCGAAGGAGGGACACCGCACACAACCCAUCACCCAACUAAUCCAGAUCUCGGGAAACCCAAACCCCUGCAAAGACUGCUGCAAAAAAUCCCAUCUCAUCCUGUCAUACGCCCGCUCCAUGUCAAGCUUAAUCCCCAUCAGGCUCCUCCUCAUCGGGGCCCUACGAAGAUCAAACAUAAACUCCUGGGCAAUAAGCACAUUAUCUGUAAUACUCCGCCCACCCAAGAAAGCUCCCUGCUCCAGACUGAUCAGCCUCGGAAGAAUGUCCCUCAAUCUGACUGCAAGUAUCUUCGUCGUAGCCUUGUACAAAGUCGAGCACAAACUAAUCGGCCGAAAAUGCCCCGGCUCAGUAGCAUCCUGUCGUUUAGGUAUCAGUGUGAUAAAUGUCCUCUGCCAANNNNNNNNNNNNNNNNNNNNNNNNNNNNNNNNNNNNNNNNNNNNNNNNNNNNNNNNNNNNNNNNNNNNNNNNNNCCUCCUGAAAAACACCGGAGGAAAACCAUCCGGCCCUGGAGCCUUAUCCCCUUGAAGAGACCAGAUUGACUCCCUGAUCUCCCUCUCUGAUACCGGCCUGAUCAAUGCAGCAGUCUCCUCCUCCGACACCUGGAUCUGAGGCCUCGGGAUAUCCACUAGACUCCCAACCCGUGUCUGCUCUGUCCAUCUAGCUCUGAAGAAACUCUCCAAAAUCCUCUGUAUCGUGUCCGGGUCCUCCAUCAUCUGCCCAUCCUCACCCUUGAUAGCUUUGAUCCUAUUCUGAUGCCUCCUAAUCACUGUAGACUGAUGAAAGAAUCUGGUGUUCCGAUCCCCUUCCUGAAUCCACUGAACCCUUGACUUCUGUCUCCAAAAAAUCUCCUGCUGUCUAAGAAGCGAAUCAUGUAGAGCCAAGUGUGACCUGAGCUCCCCCAACUCUCCCUCCGAUAAGCCUCCACUCUGCACCUCCUGAGACUGUAAACUGGAUAUGACCUCCUCCAAAUCCUCAAUCCUCCUAAAAAUAUUCCCCACCUCCUCACGGUUCCACCUCCUCAACCGUCUAGAGGUCAACUCCAACCUCCGGGAUACACGGUACAUGGCAUCUCCCCUGACGGGCAUACUCCACGCCUCCCUAACCAUCUCCCACGACCGAGGGUAGCAGAGCCAAAGCUUCUCAAAUCUAAACGGGGGGCGAACCGGAAUAAAUGUAUCCAUACUCACUAGUAAUGGACAAUGGUCCGAUGCAAUCCUCGGCAAGUGUCUAACGUGAUAAUCUGGAAAGCACUGAACCCAUCCUGCCGUCGCACAAACUCUAUCCAGUCUCUCCCAAACUCGGGCCUGCCCCUGUUGAUUAUUACACCAGGUAAACCUCGGGCCAGAGUAGCCCAAGUCAACCAAUCCAUUCAAGUCAAGGAAAUCCCGAAAUUCCUUNNNNNNNNNNNNNNNNNNNNNNNNNNNNNNCCCCAUCUUCUCCUGAGAGUUGGUAAUGCAAUUGAAGUCCCCUGCUACUAACAUCGGUUGGCCCUGGCUGAUCAAUAGAGAUGCCUCCUCCCACAAAAUCCUCCUCUCCCUAUAGUCUGUGCUAGCAUACACCGCUGCAAAGACCCAUGGCCUCCGGUUGCCUUCCGAGAUAACCAAGAUUACCUCUUGAGUACACACAUUGAAAAUGUCAAUUCUAUAAUCAUUCUGAGCCCAAGUGACAAUGAUACCUCCUGAUAGACCUUGAGAAUCCACUGCGUAGAAACCCCAUGACCUCGGCACCGCCCUCCUUGCCUUCUCUAAACUUCUGCCAGAUAACCGAGUCUCCAAUAAAACACAAAUGUUCGGGUUGUGCUGAAGCACCAACCUGCGAAAAGCCGGGGCAAAGGAAGGUUUUCCCGCACCACGACAAUUCCAAAGUAGAAUCUUCAUAAAUCACUAGGUGAAUUGGCGCGGCCCAGCUCCCCGGGACCACACCUACAAGAAUCUUCCAAAAUCACCUCACAUGUGCUCACCUCCUCAGUUGUAGGUCCUCCCUUAACAGCAUUCAUCAUCUGGGCCAAAACCAUGUUGUGAGCUUCACUGUUGACCUGUGCCAAAUGGCACGCUGUGGCUCCAGACUCCCCAGCCACCUCAGACCUCCUCUGAUGCCCUUCCUCCUCCAAAGCAGUAAUUGAAUCCCCGGGUCGCCUUGAAACCCCCUCCAUAGCUGUAACAUUAUGGCACUGUGCCAAAUAGCCUGUCACACUGUUCAUCGGUUGAGGGGAUUCAGACGGGAUGAGCACACAGUGGCUGGCACCGACGCUUGCUGCCCCCCAGCCGUUCCAUUCCCCUCCACCACCGAUCCGCCGCUCAAUUCCGACGCCGCCGCCGCAGCCCCCAACUCCGACAAGGAGGCCGCCGCCGAUGCCACCCGGAACAGCCGCGCCUUGCCCAAAACCUUCACUCCCCCGGUGACCGGUAGUUGACCGGCAUCUCGGCACACCAGCUCCGCCCGGGGAGGUCUACCGCGUGUCGCCGACAGUGGCGGGGGGGAGCUCUUGCUCCUCCGGCGAUUACCCCCCACCUGCCUCCUCAUCGGCCCGGUAGAACCUGGAAAGAGCCCCGCGGAGCGAGCCGGACCCUGUGCCGGAAACUUAGUAGGGCUCCUCGACCGCUUCCUGGGCUGAGGCCCGGUCCGCCCGCGCGCCCCGCAAGUUUGUUUUUGGGCCCCUCAUCGACCCGGCCCGAGAACGGUUUGAGCCCACCCACAUCUGGCCUGGAGCUUGAUUCGGCGCCCAGCUCGGUGCACUCACUGGGUUGACUCAGCCCCCCCCUCCGAUUGUACCCGCUCCGGCCAACGCCACAUCCUUCUCCGGCGUUUUCCUCCGUGCGACCUUUGAGGGUUUCUGCCAGCCCUCAAGGUCUAUCGGAGAGGCAUUUGUAGUCGGCUUGUCACCCUUUGAAACCGGACCUGUGUGCGGAGGUGUCGGAACCGGGUCCUGGCUCACCACCGACUCGUCCGUCACCUUCUUCCUCAUGGCCGGCUUGGCUGGCCGCUGCUGCCAAAUCCUAUUCGUCACCAACCAGGGGCCGAAAACCGGUUGCUCCUCUGGCACUACUUCCUCCACAUCCACUUGCUCCGGGACGACCCCCUCAGCUGGCAUUUUCCCCUUCCGUCGCCUCUUUUCUUCCUCCUCCUCCAUUGUCACUGGGGCGGACAUUCUGCAAUCCACCCCAACAUGACCAACUCUCCCACAGAUGGUGCACGGGGCAGGCAGGUUCUCAUAAACGAACCCCUGCCAGAAACUCGCCUCACUCCCAAACGAUCGGCCCAUAACGAAGGUUCCCGGUUUGAGAGGGGCUGAGCAGUCCACCUCCACCUUCACCCUGGCAUAGCCGAACCGUCGACCCUUUUCCGUGAUGCCGUCCACCGCUAAUGGGUUGCCCGCCGCCGCUGCAAUCCGAAGAAUGGUGGUUGGCUUCCAGUAGUCCAGUGGCAACCCCGGUAACCGGAGCCAGACCACCACUCUACCCACCCCACCCGCACCCGGCACAAAGUUUGGACGCCAACGAUCCACGGCGAGCAGUUGACCGGCUACUGUCCAGGGACCAUUCAGCAGAGCGGCUUCCCGAUCCUGUUCCGUCGCAAACUUCGCCGCCACAUAGCCUUCCAACAGGGGAAAGCAUUCCACAUUGUAAUCCAGUUUCCCCACUCUCCGGAACUCCUUCGCCACCCACUCCGCCGGUACACUCCUCCCCAAGCUUCGCACUAACACUGUCGAGCUCCGCCAAAUUGCCCUGGUCCCCUCCAGCUCCUCCUCCGGGAUCUCCACGACCUCAGUGAAGCGCCUCUGAAGCGAUGCCAGCUCCCGUGCAGAGAUCCGGUGGUUGGUCCAAGCCGGCUGUCUCGACAUCUCCCUCGUCACCUCUGCCCACGACGGGGUCUUCGCGGCACCGCCCGGAAAAGGGUUACCCGAUCCCCCCUCCGUCCCCUGCGAUGACUUCGCCGGUCUUCCUUCACCGGUAGAGGCCAUCUCUCAACCUCCUCCCUUCACACUCACACAACCGUUUGACUGUUUGCGUCUUAGAUCCCGCGCUGGGCCUGUUCUCUCCUCACAGGCUCAGACCCUCUUCGGAUCCCUAUCUACUCUCCGAUAGUUCGACGGCGAUGACCCCCAAGUUUCCGGUGAACGCCGGCGCAUCAACCCACCAUCUCCCUCAGGACCACCCUCAAAAACACCGCCUCCAGCCUCCGCGCGGCCUUCUCUGAUAUUUUUUCGCUCAGCUAGGUUGGUAUGUCCAGCUACAGGGAAGGGUUCAUGCAAGUCUUACACAUGGAAAAAAAAAAUUAUAUAAGCAUAACAGUCGUUGGGUCGUCUUAUUCGAAGGGAUCCCACGAAAAUGUUUCGUGAGCUUCGUGGUUGUGGGGAUGUACACGUAGUUCAUUCGUGGUUUGCUUCCUUGGGGCUUCGGGUGUCGCUUUCAUUUCCUCGUGCCUUCGCCGCUGCUGCCGUGAUUUAGUGGCUGCAAUCAUGAAUUGGUAAAACGUCACCACUCCAAAGAAAAAAAAGCAAAAAACAAAAAUGAUGGAACGGCUUACGCGGAUACUCUCUGCUUUAUUAUAUUUCCUUGUCUCAAAAAAAAUUGAUGGAAAAAUGGAUUAGAGUCAUAUUUUUUAAAAAACCUAAUUAAUAUAGCAUAGCACCCUUCUAAACUUACCACAGAUAUUGCAUUAGAAAUUUUUCUUGUUAUUUGUAGCUCACAUGACAAUUUUGAAUCUCAUGUAAGCCAACCACAUUAUUGCUCUUAUGUUUUAGCUGCAAAAAGAUUGUGAUCUAACUAAAUGCAUAGCAUUAAGAUUGUCCAACCUUCCUUUAGUUUAGUAAUUAAGAAAAAUAUAUCGCCUUUUUGAUGUGGCUCAAAUUAGAUGUGUAGGUAGGCUUUGCUACAAUAUUGGCAUCAAUUGAUUUGAUCGGCAUCUCGAGACCGAAUGCUUGUAAGCUCCUUCAUUGAGAAAAAGCUAGGUUGCGAUGAAAAGAAUUUGCAUUCACCUAGAGCAGGAUAAAAGUUUUGAGCUUGGUUUAAUUGUAUCACAAACCUAGUAUCAUUCCAAGGGUCAACAGGAAGCUGCGUGCUGGAAGCACCUAAAUUAGGAGCAUAAAAGAUUUAUUGCAAAUUAAAAGAAUGAAAGAUGUAUCCUUUCACUUGCAUAAAUUCGCGUAUGAUGUUUUAGCCAUUACAACCCUUCCAUUCUCACCAUUGGUUCUGCUUUUAAGCCUGAGAUUUUCUACCACUUCUUAAGAACUUUUAUUUGAUUUCCUGUGUGAUUUUGUAAAGUCAAUAAUCAUAGAAUUAGCUUUUUAAUUGUAAAGAUCUUAUGAAAACCUAGAGGAUUUCUUUUUUUUAAAAAAACUUCUUUUUAAAAGGUUCUAUAGCUUGCUAUGUUCUACUAUAAUUUUGUGCAAUUGAACAAGCAUUUUCGCAAAACGCAUCUAUUUUACACUCUGUAGAUCUCCCUUGAGCCACUGAGUGAUAUAAAGAACUUUUAUGUCCAGGUAAUUUUGCAAAAGCAUUAAGAAUCAUAAUUUAAAGCACAAAGAGACACAAUGGCUUGGACAAUUGGCUCCAUCCAAAUUUUAAUAACAAAAUUAGCAUGAAAAUAUUUUGCAAAUAUAUAAGAUACAAGUCACUCCUCUGUUCUUGUUUUAAAUAAGACCUCAAAGCAUAAACAUCUUUGGUUCAAACUUCAUAGUUGCUGAAUAUUACUGGAUUAUUGGAGGAUACAACUGAACUUAGUGGAAAUUUCACCCUCGGUCAUCUCUACAAGACCAUUCCAUCAACAAAUAUCUUCUCUUGCUCCCAAAAAACACAUCUCUUUACUAUAUGAAAACAAUACUACUGCUUUAUGAUCAAUGAGCUAUUUGAGAUGACAAAUAUACAGAAGGGAGGGGGUAAACGAUGUCACAAACUUGGCAACUGUACAUAGAGGAAAAGAGAAGUAAUUUCCAUCAAAACUCUCACUUCCUUGCCGUCAUACUCCAAAGGAAUAGGCUUAUAUCGGAUCGACAUCCUCUUCAGGAAUCGUCUCCAAGAUCUUUGAUGGCUUGAACCGCACAAACGAGACCACCUGCGGCGGCGCAACCUCCAUUGCAAACUGGAAGAUGAGAGCUCUCGCCAUGGGAUGCUUGCAGGGACUCGAAGAGUAGCAAAACAUAUGAAAGAGGAGACACUGAAAGUUUCUCAAGGACUGGAGCUUAGAUGAUUGAAUGCCCUUGUGGGACACUGGAAAGAUCAAAGGAGUAUUUAAAGGCAAGCAUUGGAGGAAAUUCGUGAAAGUCUUAUACAUGGAAGAGUGUUUUGUAUGAGAAACGAUCUGGAUCGUUGGAUUGUUG
This 35106-nucleotide long non-coding RNA is filed under the name Phoenix dactylifera (date palm). Its description in RNAcentral is "long non-coding RNA (PDAC_LNC000337)". The record is from RNAcentral. Lineage: Eukaryota; Viridiplantae; Streptophyta; Magnoliopsida; Arecales; Arecaceae.